Molecule: ribosomal RNA, 254 nt
Filed under: uncultured bacterium
Lineage: Bacteria
Description: partial 16S ribosomal RNA
Rfam family: Bacterial small subunit ribosomal RNA
Source: RNAcentral
UACGGGGGGAGCAAGCGUUGUUCGGAUUUACUGGGCGUAAAGGGCGCGUAGGCGGCGUGACAAGUCACUUGUGAAAUCUCCGGGCUUAACUCGGAGAGGCCACCCAAUACUGCUGUGACUUGAGUCCGGUAGGGGAGUGGGGAAUUCCUGGUGUAGCGGUGAAAUGCGCAGAUAUCAGGAGGAACACCGGUGGCGAAGGCGGGUCUCUGGGCAGUAACUGACGCUGAGGAGCGAAAGCGUGGGGAGCGAACAGG